Molecule: ribosomal RNA, 271 nt
Filed under: Legionella worsleiensis
Lineage: Bacteria; Pseudomonadati; Pseudomonadota; Gammaproteobacteria; Legionellales; Legionellaceae
Description: partial 16S ribosomal RNA
Rfam family: Bacterial small subunit ribosomal RNA
Source: RNAcentral
AAUUACUGGGCGUAAAGGGUGCUUACGUGGUUUUUUAAGUUAUCUGUGAAAUCCCUGGGCUCAACCUGGGAAGGUCAGAUAAUACUGUUUAACUCGAGUAUGGGAGAGGGUAGUGGAAUUUCCGGUGUAGCGGUGAAAUGCGUAGAGAUCGGAAGGAACACCAGUGGCUAAGGCGGCUACCUGGCCUAAUACUGACACUGAGGCACGAAAGCGUGGGGAGCAAACAGGAUUAAUACCGUGGUAGUCCACGCUGUAAACGAUGUCCCUCCUG